AAGGGAGCAUCCGUCGACAGU
This 21-nucleotide microRNA is filed under the name Haliotis rufescens (red abalone). RNAcentral's name for it is "Hru-Mir-281_5p (mature (guide))". RNAcentral also lists the same sequence under 7 other names. Lineage: Eukaryota; Metazoa; Mollusca; Gastropoda; Lepetellida; Haliotidae. The record is from RNAcentral.